GGCUUGUCUUASCCACGUUCGAUCGAGUGUCGGCU
Molecule: ribosomal RNA, 35 nt
Filed under: Gyrodactylus gurleyi
Lineage: Eukaryota; Metazoa; Platyhelminthes; Monogenea; Gyrodactylidea; Gyrodactylidae
Description: partial 5.8S ribosomal RNA
Source: RNAcentral